UAGACAUGGCGAAGAAGAAGCUACUUUGGAACGCGAGGAUGCGUUGAAGAAGGAGUUUCCCCAUCUUUUUAGGACUCAGCCUAAUCUCGAGGACGAGAUUCAAUUUAAGUGGGGUAGCUUUGUAACAUCCAUAAAAUUCACUAACUCAAAUCAUUCGGUAAAAUUCGUUUUCAAAAUCUUUUGACCAUUGAGCUCUCGAAAAUCCUUUCCUUCCCGGCAAUUUCGCCAUCUCGGUACCUGAAGCUAACAACCGUCCUGUUAUCCUUUUCUUUUCUCUUCCUCCGCAAAAUUCGCCGCGUGCUCAUCAAAAAGUCAUCACGUGUGCCCGACCAUUUUCCGCAUUUUUCGUCGACUCUCCCUCUCUUUUUUUAAUUUUCUCUUUUUCCCUUUUCUUUUUCUUCCUUCUCUUUCUUCCUUUCUUCUUCUUCCUUCCUCCUUUCUUCUUACUUCUUCCUGGAGCACACCGGCUCCUGGCUCCCUACACCUGCACAGUGCCCCUGGCCCUCCUGGCCAUGUGCAACUGCGCUUCACCCCCCUAGGCCCCAUGUCGUCAGGUCCCCGACGCCCUCCUACCACGCCUGCACGCCGGCGCACAGGCCUUGACCGCCCCUACCCAUGCCAGCCCCCUCGCUUCCCGUCGCCGAUUCGCCAAGGUGAGGGCCAAAAUGGAAUGGCCUCCUCUACCUUUCCCCACCCCCAAUCCAUGCCGCCAGCAAGCCUAGGCCGGCCGGCCCCCACCGGUUUCCCCUCCUCCCCAUCUCUAUGUCACGGUCCAGGGAAGAGGAAGGCAAAAAUCCCCUCCAAUUUUGAUCUAACCCCCUAUUUUCUCCUAUUCACGAAACAACCCUCCCACCUCCCAAAAAUCAUUACAACCAGGUCCCUUGUUCUCGCAGUUUAGUCCUAAACCUUGUUUUAAGCCCCUAAUACACGGUUAUCCCAUCAUUUCAUGCGCCAAACUUCCUCCAAUUAAUCCCAAAUUCGACCACGGCAUCCUCCAAAAUACUUCUGCCAAGUCAUCUCCAAAUUUCAUGAAAAUACUCAUUCUUUCU
Molecule: long non-coding RNA, 1049 nt
Filed under: Setaria viridis
Lineage: Eukaryota; Viridiplantae; Streptophyta; Magnoliopsida; Poales; Poaceae
Description: long non-coding RNA (SVIR_LNC003074)
Source: RNAcentral